Molecule: unclassified non-coding RNA, 263 nt
Filed under: plant metagenome
Description: partial contains small subunit ribosomal RNA, internal transcribed spacer 1, and 5.8S ribosomal RNA
Source: RNAcentral
UUUCCGUAGGUGAACCUGCGGAAGGAUCAUUAUUGUAUAACCGAGGUGCGAGGGCUGUCGCUGACCCGAAAGGUCGUGCACGCCCGAGUGCCCUCACACACAUCCAUCUCACCCCCAUGUGCACCGCCGCGUGGGUCCCCCUUUGGCUUGUUCGGAGGGGGGCUUACGCUUUCACACAAACUUUGUAUGCAGUGUAGAAUGUAUUUUUUGUUUUUGCGAUCACGCAAUCAAUACAACUUUCAACAACGGAUCUCUUGGCUCUC